This 253-nucleotide unclassified non-coding RNA is filed under the name uncultured Myxococcales bacterium. RNAcentral's name for it is "contains 16S-23S intergenic spacer region". It matches the Rfam family "Bacterial small subunit ribosomal RNA", at positions 524 to 776 of the family's 1533-position model. The record is from RNAcentral. Lineage: Bacteria; Pseudomonadati; Myxococcota; Myxococcia; Myxococcales.
GACAGAGGGUGCAAACGUUGCUCGGAAUCACUGGGCGUAAAGGGCGUGUAGGCGGGAAUGUAAGUCGGGCGUGAAAUCCCUAGGCUCAACCUAGGAACUGCACUCGAAACUGCGUUUCUUGAGUACCGGAGAGGAAAGCGGAAUACCUGGUGUAGAGGUGAAAUUCGUAGAUAUCAGGUGGAACACCAGUGGCGAAGGCGGCUUUCUGGACGGUAACUGACGCUGAGACGCGAAAGCGUGGGGAGCAAACAGG